RNAcentral lists this small nuclear RNA (60 nucleotides) under Choloepus hoffmanni (Hoffmann's two-fingered sloth). Lineage: Eukaryota; Metazoa; Chordata; Mammalia; Pilosa; Megalonychidae. The record is from RNAcentral.
GUGCUUAUUUUGGCAGCACAUAUACUAAAAUUGGAAUGAUACAGAAAAUAUUAGCAUGGC